This 460-nucleotide ribosomal RNA is filed under the name uncultured bacterium. Its description in RNAcentral is "partial 16S ribosomal RNA". It matches the Rfam family "Bacterial small subunit ribosomal RNA", at positions 338 to 795 of the family's 1533-position model. The record is from RNAcentral.
CCUACGGGGGGCAGCAGUGAGGAAUAUUGGUCAAUGGACGCAAGUCUGAACCAGCCAUGCCGCGUGCAGGAAGACGGCUCUAUGAGUUGUAAACUGCUUUUGUACGAGGGUAAACGCAGAUACGCGUAUCUGUCUGAAAGUACCGUACGAAUAAGGAUCGGCUAACUCCGUGCCAGCAGCCGCGGUAAUACGGAGGAUUCAAGCGUUAUCCGGAUUUAUUGGGUUUAAAGGGUGCGUAGGCGGUCUGAUAAGUUAAGGGUGAAAUCAUGAGGGUCAACUUCGAAAUUGCCUCUAAUACUGUAGGGCUAGAGAGUAGUUGCGGUAGGCGGAAUGUAUGAAGUAGCGGUGAAAUGCAUAGAGAUCAUACAGAACACCGAUAGCGAAGGCAGCUUACCAGGCUACUUCUGACGUUGAGGCACGAGAGCGUGGGUAGCGAACAGGAUUAGAUACCCGGGUAGUC